AGUGAACGCUGGCGGCAGGCCUAAUACAUGCAAGUCGAACGGCAGCACAGCAGAGCUUGCUCUGUGGGUGGCGAGUGGCGGGACGGGUGAGGAAUACGUGGGAAUCUGCCCAGUCGUGGGGGAUAACGUAGGGAAACUUACGCUAAUACCGCAUGCGCCCUUCGGGGAAAGCCGGGGACCUUCGGGCCUGGCGCGAUUGGAUGAGCCCACGUCGGAUUAGCUAGUUGGCGGGGUAAAGGCCCACCAAGGCGACGAUCCGUAGCUGGUCUGAGAGGAUGAUCAGCCACACUGGAACUGAGACACGGUCCAGACUCCUACGGGAGGCAGCAGUAGGGAAUAUCGGACAAUGGGCGCAAGCCUGAUCCAGCCAUGCCGCGUGAGUGAAGAAGGCCCUCGGGUUGUAAAGCUCUUUUGUCCGGAAAGAAAGCGCCGGGUUAAUACCCUGGUGUCCUGACGGUACCGGAAGAAUAAGCACCGGCUAACUUCGUGCCAGCAGCCGCGGUAA
This 505-nucleotide ribosomal RNA is filed under the name uncultured bacterium. RNAcentral describes it as "bacterial SSU rRNA". It matches the Rfam family "Bacterial small subunit ribosomal RNA", at positions 29 to 523 of the family's 1533-position model. The record is from RNAcentral.